This 254-nucleotide ribosomal RNA is filed under the name uncultured bacterium. RNAcentral describes it as "partial 16S ribosomal RNA". It matches the Rfam family "Bacterial small subunit ribosomal RNA", at positions 524 to 776 of the family's 1533-position model. The record is from RNAcentral.
UACGGGGGGAGCAAGCGUUGUUCGGAUUUACUGGGCGUAAAGGGCGCGUAGGCGGUCGUGACAAGUCACUUGUGAAAUCUCCGGGCUUAACUCGGAACGGUCAAGUGAUACUGUCGGACUAGAGUACAGAAGGGGCAACUGGAAUUCUCGGUGUAGCGGUGAAAUGCGUAGAUAUCGGGAGGAACACCAGAGGCGAAGGCGGGUUACUGGGCUGAUACUGACGCUGAUGCGCGAAAGCCAGGGGAGCAAACGGG